UUCUUCACUAUCUGUCUGCCUUGCAG
This 26-nucleotide non-coding RNA is filed under the name Cricetulus griseus (Chinese hamster). Lineage: Eukaryota; Metazoa; Chordata; Mammalia; Rodentia; Cricetidae. The record is from RNAcentral.